CUUGAUAGCCAUACCACCCUGAGUGUUUCCAAACUCACCUGAUAUUAGAAGCUAAACAGGUUUAGAUUUGGUGAGGAUGUGGAUGGGAGAAGGAAAAGGUGUUCAAGU
This 108-nucleotide ribosomal RNA is filed under the name Peromyscus maniculatus bairdii (prairie deer mouse). Lineage: Eukaryota; Metazoa; Chordata; Mammalia; Rodentia; Cricetidae. The record is from RNAcentral.